UCUGACCUCAAAUCAGGUAGGACUACCCGC
Molecule: ribosomal RNA, 30 nt
Filed under: Raduliporus aneirinus
Lineage: Eukaryota; Fungi; Basidiomycota; Agaricomycetes; Polyporales; Irpicaceae
Description: partial 28S ribosomal RNA
Source: RNAcentral